GUGCCAGCAGCCGCGGUAAUACAGAGGUGGCAAGCGUUGUUCGGAUUCAUUGGGCGUAAAGGGUCCGUAGGCGGUUCGGAAAGUCGGGUGUGAAAUCCUACAGCUUAACUGUAGAACUGCAUUCGAAACUCCCGGACUAGAGUGUGAGAGGGGUGAAGGGAAUUCCCAGUGUAAGGGUGAAAUCUGCAGAGAUUGGGAAGAACACCAGUCGCGAAGGCGCUUCACUGGCUCACUACUGACGCUCAGGGACGAAAGCUAGGGGAGCAAACGGGAUUAGAUACCCGCGUAGUCC
RNAcentral lists this ribosomal RNA (292 nucleotides) under uncultured bacterium. RNAcentral describes it as "partial 16S ribosomal RNA". It matches the Rfam family "Bacterial small subunit ribosomal RNA", at positions 505 to 796 of the family's 1533-position model. The record is from RNAcentral.